AGCGUAAAUAUCUCACUCUUACCUGAAUUCAUCUGCGAAUAGUGAGAAAUAGAAUCCGUGCUGGUGAAAAUGUUCAUAGACGUAGGAAUGUCCUCUUCAGGGUAAAGGCUGUCAGGAAUCGUAUUUAUUAAACUGCUCAUGAUACACCAAACGUGUUCUCCGAUGGACAGUACAAUGAAUCGCGAUCUGGAAGAGUAAUGGUGAUCAAAGGAAGAAAAAAUCCAGGUGGUGUUGUAUCCAACAGAAGUUCUUAAAAGGGGUGUGACUUGCCCGGAAACGGGACAGGCAGUUCCGGACCCAGGAUGCCGGAGCCUGUGCUGUUAGGCUCCCUGUCUGGGUUCAUCACGCCCUCUACUGAGCGGAGGACGCACUGGACAGAGGCUGUACGCUGCUGCUCAGGGACCACACAAAGAAUGAGGGUUUCUUUGUGGGCUUCUCUAUAGGAGGUCCCCUGUGGUCACCUCAGUAACACAGGCUAGCAGGACAGUCCAUGCGGACAAGGCCUGAGACAUAGAAAGUGGUUUGCGAUGCAGGGGUUCCCCCAAACCUGUCACCCCAGGGACAGUAGACUUCCCAGACGGUGGACUCUGUCCCCCUUAGUGUCCUCACAGUGAUGCACAGAGGGGCUGCAGUGAAUGUGGGCCCCUGUGUUUGCCGUUGAUGACAGGGAAUGAGACUUCAAUAAGACUAAAGAUUCCACUAGAAGAGAUUGGUAAUGUUUUAAUUAAGGAAAACACACACGGCCGGUAUUAAAGUCAAACAACAAGCCACAGUGACCCAAGGGGAGCUUGUCACGUGGCGAGACAUGAAAAUGAAACCUGGUGGUGUUGACUAAAAAAAGAGAACCAACCAGGAAGAGUGCCUUCGACAAGCAAACAGAACAUUUUCCAUUCCUUUGCAUACCUGUGCACACCAAUAUGUUGUCUGUGCUCUCAGUACCUGCUCUGAAGCCUCAUUUACAGUUAUACCUUUAAUGAUAAUGACUGAUCAAACUCAUUCAUGUUUACAAAGAAAAAACAUGUAACAUAAUUCAAUCAUUUUACAUGGCAGUUAGUCACACUUCAAAGCUAGUACACACUGUUAACCAGUGCAGCCUUAAUUCUAAAAGAGGUGAUGUCAUUGUGUUUAAUUAAUGAAUCAUAACAAAUACACGGGGAAUUACCAUUGUAGACUGGAAGCAUGUGGAAAAAUCUGCAUAAAUGCUGUACAGCUCAACAAUCCAGUGCAAAAUUCAGCCGUUGUCAAAGGUGUGAUAAGCAUGUCACAAUCAAUACGAACAAUAAAAACAACCUGAGAAGUGAAGCAUAUUUAUUAAAAGUUAAUAAAGGGAUGCAUAUUUCAAAGCC
Long non-coding RNA from Paramormyrops kingsleyae, 1346 nucleotides. RefSeq lists it as uncharacterized. The record is from RefSeq and is a predicted model, not a curated record. Lineage: Eukaryota; Metazoa; Chordata; Actinopteri; Osteoglossiformes; Mormyridae.